Molecule: long non-coding RNA, 92 nt
Organism: Trichoplusia ni (cabbage looper)
Lineage: Eukaryota; Metazoa; Arthropoda; Insecta; Lepidoptera; Noctuidae
Exons: 2
Source: RefSeq, a predicted model, not a curated record
GGCUUCGCUGGAACAUCUCCGUGACCUUCGUUGAGACAGCGUGCCUCAGAAUUGUUUACAGACAAUCAGCGGCGUCAAUACGACUACACCAA